RNAcentral lists this transfer RNA (73 nucleotides) under Salmo salar (Atlantic salmon). It matches the Rfam family "tRNA". Rfam says of the family: Transfer RNA (tRNA) molecules are approximately 80 nucleotides in length. Their secondary structure includes four short double-helical elements and three loops (D, anti-codon, and T loops). Further hydrogen bonds mediate the characteristic L-shaped molecular structure. tRNAs have two regions of fundamental functional importance: the anti-codon, which is responsible for specific mRNA codon recognition, and the 3' end, to which the tRNAs corresponding amino acid is attached (by aminoacyl-tRNA synthetases). tRNAs cope with the degeneracy of the genetic code in two manners: having more than one tRNA (with a specific anti-codon) for a particular amino acid; and 'wobble' base-pairing, i.e. permitting non-standard base-pairing at the 3rd anti-codon position. Lineage: Eukaryota; Metazoa; Chordata; Actinopteri; Salmoniformes; Salmonidae. The record is from Rfam by way of RNAcentral.
UCCCCUGUGGCUCAGUUGGUAGAGCAUGGUGUUUGCAACGCCAGGGUUGUGGGUUUGAUUGCCACGGGGGGCC